UACAGAGGUCCCAAGCGUUGUUCGGAUUCACUGGGCGUAAAGGGUGCGUAGGUGGCGAGGUAAGUCGGAUGUGAAAUCUCGGAGCUCAACUCCGAAACUGCAUUGGAAACUACCUUGCUCGAGGGUUGGAGGGGGGACUGGAAUGCUUGGUGUAGCAGUGAAAUGCGUAGAUAUCAAGCGGAACACCAGUGGCGAAGGCGAGUCCCUGGACAACUCCUGACACUGAGGCACGAAAGCUAGGGGAGCAAACAGG
This 253-nucleotide ribosomal RNA is filed under the name uncultured bacterium. RNAcentral describes it as "partial 16S ribosomal RNA". It matches the Rfam family "Bacterial small subunit ribosomal RNA", at positions 524 to 776 of the family's 1533-position model. The record is from RNAcentral.